Molecule: ribosomal RNA, 449 nt
Filed under: uncultured bacterium
Lineage: Bacteria
Description: bacterial SSU rRNA
Rfam family: Bacterial small subunit ribosomal RNA
Source: RNAcentral
ACCCAGACUCCUACGGGAGGCAGCAGUGGGGAAUAUUGCACAAUGGGGGGAACCCUGAUGCAGCGACGCCGCGUGAGUGAAGAAGUAUUUCGGUAUGUAAAGCUCUAUCAGCAGGGAAGAAAAUGACGGUACCUGACUAAGAAGCCCCGGCUAACUACGUGCCAGCAGCCGCGGUAAUACGUAGGGGGCAAGCGUUAUCCGGAUUUACUGGGUGUAAAGGGAGCGUAGACGGCAUGGCAAGUCAGAUGUGAAAGCCCGGGGCUCAACCCCGGGACUGCAUUUGAAACUGCCAGGCUGGAGUGCAGGAGAGGUAAGUGGAAUUCCUAGUGUAGCGGUGAAAUGCGUAGAUAUUAGGAGGAACACCAGUGGCGAAGGCGGCUUACUGGACUGUAACUGACGUUGAGGCUCGAAAGCGUGGGGAGCAAACAGGAUUAGAUACCCGAGUACAU